Ictalurus punctatus (channel catfish) is the source of this 1070-nucleotide long non-coding RNA. RefSeq lists it as uncharacterized. The record is from RefSeq and is a predicted model, not a curated record. Lineage: Eukaryota; Metazoa; Chordata; Actinopteri; Siluriformes; Ictaluridae. The transcript has 3 exons.
GUCUCAGUCGCUAGCACAACUUUCUUUCAGUGCUGCGCCGGAAGCGGUUUGUGCUUGACGUUUCAAUGGACGCUGUGAGCAUGGCUUUUUACACUCACUGCUUGCAAGAUGUUCCAGGGAUUAUUGAAUGAACGAUGUUAAUCGCAUUAUGAGGGUCAGGGACUACUGGCGCUCACACCUGCAGAAGCAUUGGCACUAGCCAAUCUAAAGAACAUUCACAUCUAAAGAACAUUAAGACCAACCUACGAUCACGUUUAACGGAUGGAAGUCUCAACGCCUGCAUGAAGCUUAACCUCACCACGUAUCAACCAGACUACAAAGCCAUCAGCAAAACCAUGCAGCACCAGAAGUUGCAUUAAUGGUCUGCAACAAUUAUUGGCACCCUUUUAGUCAAUGCUUUGGGCUACCUCCCUUUGCCAAGAUAUCAGCUCUGUCUUCUCCUAUAAUGCCUGAUGAGGUUGGAGAAUACAUGGCAGGGGAUCUGCGACCAUUCCUCCAUACAGAAUCUCUCCAGAUCCUUCAAAUUUCAAGGUACAUGCUGGUGGACUCUCCUCUUAAGUUCACCCCACAGGUUUUCUAUGGGUUUCAAGUCAUGGGACAUAUAUAAAUAUAUAUAAAUAACAAUCUCAGUUCUGAUUGCUAGUUAAUUGAAAUGACAGAAAUGUUGGUAUAAAAAUUAUACUGAUAUUGUUACCAAAUGAUACAGAUUCAUUGUUAUCAAUUCCCCUUUCUUUAUCAAAUUAAUUAAUAAUUUAUCUAUCUUAGGACUUGGUACUCUUGUUGAGAAUAAUCAACUUUUAUUUAAAUGUUAAAAAUCUGUGUUAUUCUAAAGCAAAUAUAUACAUUAAUAUGUAUAUUUUCUUAAAACAGCCAGAGAUAAACAAUUUGACAGCAAUUUGUACAUCAACAAUAUUCGUUUAUAUGUAGAUUUAAUAGUUCUUAAUGCCCAUGUGACAUGAUGUGACAUAUAAGUCAAAAUCAGCCAAGUAAAGCAGUAAGUGGAGUCUUGCUUGGAAAUGUACUUAUGAAUGAAACCUUUUAAAAAAAAAAUAAUAAAUGAAUUGACAAUG